Molecule: small RNA, 27 nt
Filed under: Bombyx mori (domestic silkworm)
Lineage: Eukaryota; Metazoa; Arthropoda; Insecta; Lepidoptera; Bombycidae
Description: ovarian small RNA-8736
Source: RNAcentral
UGGAUGCAGGACGAGAUGGAAGGGGAC